Molecule: ribosomal RNA, 494 nt
Filed under: uncultured bacterium
Lineage: Bacteria
Description: partial 16S ribosomal RNA
Rfam family: Bacterial small subunit ribosomal RNA
Source: RNAcentral
GACGAACGCUGGCGGCGCGCUUAACACAUGCAAGUCGAACGGAAAGGCCUGCUUUCCCUUGUGGAUUGCGGGUACUCGAGUGGCGAACGGGUGAGUAACACGUGAGUGAUCUGCCCCCAACUUGGGUAUAAGCCUGGGAAACUGGGUCUAAUUCCCGAUAGGACUGCAGGGUGGUGCCUGUGGUGGAAAACGAUUUUCUAGUGGUUGGGGAUGAGCUCGCGGCCUAUCAGCUUGUUGGUGGGGUAAUGGCCUACCAAGGCGGCGACGGGUAGCCGGGCGGGGGGGGUGGGCCGGCAUGUGUGGGAUGGGACACCGCCCAGACUCCGACGGGAGGCAGCAGUGGGGAAUAUUGCACAAUGGGCGGAAGCCUGAUGCAGCGACGCCGCGUGGGGGAUGACGGCCUUCGGGUUGUAAACUCCUUUCGACCGCGAGGAAGCCACCUGGUUGGAAGGGUGGUGACGGUAGUGGUAGAAGAAGCACCGGCUAACUACGUG